This 405-nucleotide ribosomal RNA is filed under the name uncultured bacterium. RNAcentral's name for it is "bacterial SSU rRNA". It matches the Rfam family "Bacterial small subunit ribosomal RNA", at positions 355 to 776 of the family's 1533-position model. The record is from RNAcentral.
CGAGGAAUAUUGCACAAUGGAGGAAACUCUGAUGCAGUAACGCCGCGUGGGGGAAGAAGACCUUCGGGUUGUAAACCUCUUUUAUAUCGGACGAGUGAGGACGGUACGAUAGGAAUCAGUCUCGGCUAACUACGUGCCAGCAGCCGCGGUAAGACGUAGGAGGCGAGCGUUAUCCGGAUUCACUGGGCGUAAAGCGCAUGUAGGCGGUUUGAAAAGUCCGCGGUUAAAGCCCCCGGCUCAACUGGGGGAGGUCCGUGGAGACUUUUAGACUUGAGGGCAACAGAGGCACGUGGAACUCCCGGUGUAGCGGUGGAAUGCGUAGAGAUCGGGAAGAACACCAGUGGCGAAGGCGACGUGCUGGGUUGCGACUGACGCUGAGAUGCGAAAGUGUGGGGAGCAAACGGG